Molecule: ribosomal RNA, 301 nt
Filed under: uncultured bacterium
Lineage: Bacteria
Description: partial 16S ribosomal RNA
Rfam family: Bacterial small subunit ribosomal RNA
Source: RNAcentral
CAGCAGCCGCGGGAAUACGUAGGUGGCAAGCGUUGUCCGGAAUUAUUGGGCGUAAAGGGCUCGCAGGCGGUUUCUUAAGUCUGAUGUGAAAUGCCAAGGCUCAACCUUGGAACUGCCUUUGAUACUGGAGAUCUUGAGUCCGGGAGAGGUGAGUGGAAUUGCGAGUGUAGAGGUGAAAUUCGUAGAUAUUCGCAAGAACACCAGUGGCGAAGGCGGCUCACUGGCCCGGAACUGACGCUGAGACGCGAAAGCGUGGGGAGCAAACAGGAUUAGAGACCCGCGUAGUCCCUGUCUCUUAUAC